Molecule: long non-coding RNA, 821 nt
Organism: Carassius gibelio (silver crucian carp)
Lineage: Eukaryota; Metazoa; Chordata; Actinopteri; Cypriniformes; Cyprinidae
Exons: 6
Source: RefSeq, a predicted model, not a curated record
UUUUAUUUUUUUGCUCCAGAAUUCAUUCAGGCUUAACUUCCUGUCUACUGCUCAUCGGCUUCAUGAAGAGGGCUUUCAAAGUCUGCGCCACAGAGAGUACAUCAGCUUGGCUCAAUGCUAAUGAUGUUCCAACCAUCCCUGUUGCUUGGUCGAGUCAGGAAACCAAAAAUACAACUUUACCCAGCAUCAGCAGACCUAGUGGUCAACUUACCCAAUAACACCAAGUUCUUCAAGGACAACUUCCAGAUCCGCAGAAGGGCGGUGGAUUAUGGAGUACCACUUACACAAACUUCCAGGUAGUAAAGCUGUUUGCAGAAGCCAUUAGAUAUUCCAGUGAUUUAAACGCCACCAGCCUGUUCCACCACCAACAAAGUGAUCCCAGACUGUCGGAGAGCUCUGCUGCAAGGAUCUUCAGAGGAGGCCGGCAGCUGCAGUUGUCUCUGUCCCUGUGCUGAUCGAGUGUGCAUACUCAGCCAUACUGAAUAAUGCACGGCACCUUCCUGGGCUGAAGGAGGUCUGCUGUGUGCAGAAGAAAGAAGAAUACUGAUUGCUAAUUGACGUUGGUUCCUCAUGCUAUGAUAAUGAAUUAUCCAGGAGGCAAAAUGAUUGACGUCCUAUGAGGAGCCACUGCCAUACUUGGAACAAAACUGGCCACUGCCAUGCAAGCAGUUCCUCUUCUGCAUCGCAUACAUCAUGAUCUGGCCAGAUUUGAAUCCAACAGAGGACAGACGGAAGGGAAAUUCCUUUUCAACUCUGCUGCAGAUUUCUAUCCUUUUUAAUAGGACAAUUAGGACUACCCGUUCCUGUAAAACACGUUGGUA